GCAGGUCGAGACGGACGGCCGCGACCCGACACGGCCGAGCGUGGUCAGCCCCGAGAUCGGCCUGGGCUCGUGUCCAAUGCCGGAGCCGGUCCUGUCGCCGGGCGGCGAGCCGGCGGCCGGCCCGCAGGCGCGCGCCGAGGCCAAGACCGGCAUCCUGAAGACGGAGGCGUCGUCCGCGGGGCGCCGCCGACAGAACGUGGCGCUGCAGGCUCUGAUGAAGUCGGGCCCGCGCGUGCCAGCGCCGGCCGAGGAGGCGCGACUCAGGGAGGGU
This is a long non-coding RNA of Pollicipes pollicipes, 271 nucleotides long. RefSeq lists it as uncharacterized. The record is from RefSeq and is a predicted model, not a curated record. The transcript has 3 exons. Lineage: Eukaryota; Metazoa; Arthropoda; Thecostraca; Pollicipedomorpha; Pollicipedidae.